RNAcentral lists this ribosomal RNA (174 nucleotides) under uncultured bacterium. Its description in RNAcentral is "partial 16S ribosomal RNA". It matches the Rfam family "Bacterial small subunit ribosomal RNA", at positions 334 to 522 of the family's 1533-position model. The record is from RNAcentral.
UACUCCUACGGGAGGCAGCAGUGAGGAAUAUUGGGCAAUGGGCGAAAGCCUGACCCAGCGACGCCGCGUGAGGGAAGACGGUCUUCGGAUUGUAAACCUCUUUCAGCAGGGAAGAAGAAAGUGACGGUACCUGCAGAAGAAGUCACGGCUAACUACGUGCCAGCAGCCGCGGUA